RNAcentral lists this transfer RNA (75 nucleotides) under Deltaproteobacteria bacterium. RNAcentral's name for it is "tRNA-Thr". It matches the Rfam family "tRNA". From Rfam's summary of the family: Transfer RNA (tRNA) molecules are approximately 80 nucleotides in length. Their secondary structure includes four short double-helical elements and three loops (D, anti-codon, and T loops). Lineage: Bacteria; Pseudomonadati; Myxococcota; Myxococcia. The record is from RNAcentral.
GCCAGCGUAGCUCAGUGGUAGAGCAGCUGAUUCGUAAUCAGCAGGUCAAGGGUCCGACUCCCUUCGCUGGCUCCA